Molecule: microRNA precursor, 107 nt
Filed under: Trypanosoma vivax Y486
Lineage: Eukaryota; Euglenozoa; Kinetoplastea; Trypanosomatida; Trypanosomatidae
Source: RNAcentral
UACUUCCUGUCUAGGAGGCAGCCAAGCGCCCGGACCAUGCCCGGUCCGACAGGACUGGGUCCGGGCGCUUGUCUUUCUCCUAGACAGAGUACUAGACCCUGGCACCG